AUUGAACGCUGGCGGCAGGCCUAACACAUGCAAGUCGAGCGGAUGAAAGGAGCUUGCUCCUGGAUUCAGCGGCGGACGGGUGAGUAAUGCCUAGGAAUCUGCCUGGUAGUGGGGGACAACGUUUCGAAAGGAACGCUAAUACCGCAUACGUCCUACGGGAGAAAGCAGGGGACCUUCGGGCCUUGCGCUAUCAGAUGAGCCUAGGUCGGAUUAGCUAGUUGGUGAGGUAAUGGCUCACCAAGGCGACGAUCCGUAACUGGUCUGAGAGGAUGAUCAGUCACACUGGAACUGAGACACGGUCCAGACUCCUACGGGAGGCAGCAGUGGGGAAUAUUGGACAAUGGGCGAAAGCCUGAUCCAGCCAUGCCGCGUGUGUGAAGAAGGUCUUCGGAUUGUAAAGCACUUUAAGUUGGGAGGAAGGGUUGUAGAUUAAUACUCUGCAAUUUUGACGUUACCGACAGAAUAAGCACCGGCUAA
Molecule: ribosomal RNA, 477 nt
Filed under: Pseudomonas sp.
Lineage: Bacteria; Pseudomonadati; Pseudomonadota; Gammaproteobacteria; Pseudomonadales; Pseudomonadaceae
Description: bacterial SSU rRNA
Rfam family: Bacterial small subunit ribosomal RNA
Source: RNAcentral